This 492-nucleotide ribosomal RNA is filed under the name uncultured bacterium. RNAcentral describes it as "partial 16S ribosomal RNA". It matches the Rfam family "Bacterial small subunit ribosomal RNA", at positions 29 to 507 of the family's 1533-position model. The record is from RNAcentral.
AGUGAACGCUGGCGGUAGGCCUAACACAUGCAAGUCGAACGGCAGCACAGUAAGAGCUUGCUCUUACGGGUGGCGAGUGGCGGACGGGUGAGGAAUACAUCGGAAUCUACUUUUUCGUGGGGGAUAACGUAGGGAAACUUACGCUAAUACCGCAUACGACCUACGGGUGAAAGCAGGGGAUCUUCGGACCUUGCGCGAUUGAAUGAGCCGAUGUCGGAUUAGCUAGUUGGCGGGGUAAAGGCCCACCAAGUCGACGAUCCGUAGCUGGUCUGAGAGGAUGAUCAGCCACACUGGAACUGAGACACGGUCCAGACUCCUACGGGAGGCAGCAGUGGGGAAUAUUGGACAAUGGGCGCAAGCCUGAUCCAGCCAUACCGCGUGGGUGAAGAAGGCCUUCGAGUUGUAAAGCCCUUUUGUUGGGAAAGAAAAGCAGCAGGUUAAUACCCCGCUGUUCUGACGGUACCCAAAGAAUAAGCACCGGCUAACUUCGUG